Molecule: unclassified non-coding RNA, 345 nt
Filed under: soil metagenome
Description: partial contains 5.8S ribosomal RNA, internal transcribed spacer 2, and large subunit ribosomal RNA
Rfam family: 5.8S ribosomal RNA (bases 1-120)
Source: RNAcentral
GAUGAAGAACGUAGCGAAAUGCGAUACGUAAUGUGAAUUGCAGAAUUCAGUGAAUCAUCGAGUCUUUGAACGCACAUUGCGCCCUCUGGUAUUCCGGAGGGCAUGCCUGUCCGAGCGUCAUUGCUGCCCUCAAGCACGGCUUGUGUGUUAGGCCCCGUCCUCCGCUCGCGGGGGACGGGCCUGAAAGGCAGCGGCGGCACCGCGUCCGGUCCUCGAGCGUAUGGGGCUUUGUCACCCGCUCUGUAGGCCCGGCCGGCGCCUGCCGAUCAACCACACUUUUAUUCAGGUUGACCUCGGAUCAGGUAGGGAUACCCGCUGAACUUAAGCAUAUCAAUAAGCGGAGGA